This is a long non-coding RNA of Brienomyrus brachyistius, 1209 nucleotides long. RefSeq lists it as uncharacterized. The record is from RefSeq and is a predicted model, not a curated record. NCBI's taxonomy places the organism in Eukaryota, Metazoa, Chordata, Actinopteri, Osteoglossiformes, Mormyridae. The transcript is spliced from 3 exons.
GGAGUGUCUCUCGCUCCGACUGAAGCAGCAUUUCCGGAAAAGCUGCGAACUUCACGAGCGCCGGCAUUGAUUUUAACAGCCCCGUCAAAGGUAAACAGAGACGCAGUAGAGGUGAAGGAACAGCUAAGGUGAGACUACGAGUAAAACGAGCUUCCUGCCUCUCGCAUCGCUACACGCCGGAAGGAGUCCCGCUAAAUACAGAAACUCGAUGCAAGAAAGACGGGAGCGCGGAGAUGGCGGGGACCCAGAGCGCGCACCUUCGGGGACGCGCUGGAGGGAGGCGCUGCACUGCCGGGACACAAUGGCAGGGACCAGAACGCGCACCGUCCGGGACGCGCUGAAGAGCGGCGCUAAUGCGCAUAGUGCGGCCCAGUCUCUAAGUGUGCCUUAUAAAACAUUCAUUCAAAAGGAUCCACUGGAAGACACAGACCAGUUUAAUUAUUUAGAUUCAACAAAGCAGAAAGGGCUGUGCUAGCAGCGUGUAAUGGGACGAGUCUGCGUAGCUGCCACACUGUAAACGGGAGUAAUGCUGUCGUCUGGAAUGGGACAAACUAUGAGUGAACAAAUUGAACAAAAAAUAAGCGGUCAAAACCUCUCGAUUUAAUUUGAUUUUUGAUUAACUUCCAUGUUGAUCUUCAGUCACCAGUGGUUCACUUCCCCUCAUAUAAAGCGAUGGAUGUAUUGCAUAUUUCUAAAACAAAUUAUUCAAUAAGUAAUGCAUUUAAUUCGUUUUUUUGUACUAAGUAAUAAAUACCGUACUUAACGAAACAAAGUUCGGAAUCUCAGAUAAAUAAUAAGAAAACAGUGUAACGGACUAGGCUAAGCAGUUUACAUAUGUAACACCCUCCCUAUUCAAGUUUGCUGGAAAAAUUGGGAUCAUGAACUUUUGUUUGUCGUGUAAUAUAAUUAUUCGUAAUAAAUGUUCAUGUAUUUUUAUUUUUAUUAAGCUGCGUGAAAGUGUCAGAACAGAAACACAGAUAUUAGGCGUUAUAAAUAAUCUAACUAGUCGUUUUUCCCGUCAGGGUGACGUUGGGAGAGCCCAUUCAUUUAGUUAUUAAAACAAGCCAUCGAACUUUUUUAUGACGGCGAAACUUUUAUAAACAUUUGUAUGACUGGAGCUCACCCUGCUGUUGCGAUCGGUCUCCCGGACGUCUUCCUCCGACAGCCCCUGCCUGAUCAUGAUCCGCACGAUGACGGCGUUAUUAGUGC